This 45-nucleotide non-coding RNA is filed under the name Echinostoma caproni. Lineage: Eukaryota; Metazoa; Platyhelminthes; Trematoda; Plagiorchiida; Echinostomatidae. The record is from RNAcentral.
GCAUUGCUGACGAAUCGCAAACAGGACAAAACAGCUGUCCAGUGC